GAUGAAGAACGCAGCGAAAUGCGAUAAGUAAUGUGAAUUGCAGAAUUCAGUGAAUCAUCGAAUCUUUGAACGCACAUUGCGCCCCCUGGUAUUCCGGGGGGCAUGCCUGUCCGAGCGUCAUUACAACCCUCAAGCUCAGCUUGGUAUUGGGCCCCGCCGACCCGGCGGGCCCUAAAGUCAGUGGCGGUGCCGUCCGGCUCCGAGCGUAGUAAUUCUUCUCGCUCUGGAGGUCCGGUCGUGUGCUCGCCAGCAACCCCCAAUUUUUUUCAGGUUGACCUCGGAUCAGGUAGGGAUACCCGCUGAACUUAAGCAUAUCAAUAAGCGAGGA
This 328-nucleotide unclassified non-coding RNA is filed under the name soil metagenome. Its description in RNAcentral is "partial contains 5.8S ribosomal RNA, internal transcribed spacer 2, and large subunit ribosomal RNA". The stretch from base 1 to 120 matches the Rfam family "5.8S ribosomal RNA", at positions 35 to 154 of the family's 154-position model. The record is from RNAcentral.